GAAUAAUAUAUCUCAGUUUUCUGGUUUUGUGUGGCAUGAAAAUGAGGUCCAGAUGAUCAAAGUUAAAGAGAAAUUGGACAAGUGUAACAAAGAGAAGUUGUCAGAAUUUUGUGAUGUCCUUGACAUUCCAAUUGCCAAGGCUACUACAAGGAAGCCAGAUAGUUUCAGUGAUGUGGUGUCACCUGCACUCUUUGCUGUCCGGGUUUAAUCUCAGUUUGAAUAUUUUCUACUGAAACCAAAGUUGCUAUGAGUAUACAUUUGCAGCAUGUGUUUAAGAGCUAGCUUUGAUGCUCUUCAAGCUUUACAUGUCGAGUGAUAUUGUUUUAAUGAGCUGAAAGUGCACAUCCAGGAAGACAUUGUUGCAAACCUGAUAUACUUUUUGGUGGCCCCUCAUGCUACAAAUACUGUGCUCCUUGCAGAAAAAGAGAAGUCAUGUAAAUCCAGCAAAAAACGGAAGAGGGUGGUCAGAGGAAGUUCAUCAUCUCGAAGUGCAGCUUCAAAACGUUCAGCAAAGGAUUUCAAACUCCUUAUAUUGAUAUACAACAAUUUUAUGAAGGUCUAAAUAUGGAAGUGGAGCAGCAAAUUCCAUUACUCUUGGUUGAGAGACAAGCACUAAAUGAAGCAAGAGAAGGAGAAAAGAAUAGAAAACAUGGUGUUCAGGAAGCAGCUUGGAGGAAAGCUUGAGAGUUCUUUACAAAGUGAUUUGGGUGUGAACACUGUUGGAGAGCUAUUACAGUUUUCAGAGGAGAAGCUACAAGAGAAUUCAAGGGGGAAUGUAAAGAAGUUAUGACAGUGUUAUUACAAUGUUAAGACAACGUUAUAUUUUACUUAUUCACAAAAUGUAUGUGAAUUUAUUGACUCACAAUUUGUUCCUUGAAAGCGUAGUACAAUGUAUUUGGUUUGCAUUAUUA
Molecule: RNA transcript, 911 nt
Organism: Juglans microcarpa x Juglans regia
Lineage: Eukaryota; Viridiplantae; Streptophyta; Magnoliopsida; Fagales; Juglandaceae
Exons: 5
Source: RefSeq, a predicted model, not a curated record